GACGAACGCUGGCGGCGUGCUUAACACAUGCAAGUCGAACGGAAGUAAGGAUUUCGGUUUUACUUUAGUGGCGAACGGGUGAGUAACGCGUGAGGAACCUGCCUUUCAGUGGGGGACGAACAGUUGGAAACGACUGCUAAUACCGCAUGAAACUAUCGGGCCGCAUGGUCUGGUAGUCAAAGAUUUAUUGCUGAAAGAUGGCCUCGCGUCUGAUUAGCUAGUUGGUGGGGUAACGGCUCACCAAGGCGACGAUCAGUAGCCGGACUGAGAGGUUGACCGGCCACAUUGGGACUGAGAUACGGCCCAGACUCCUACGGGAGGCAGCAGUGGGGAAUAUUGGGCAAUGGGCGAAAGCCUGACCCAGCAACGCCGCGUGAA
Molecule: ribosomal RNA, 378 nt
Filed under: uncultured bacterium
Lineage: Bacteria
Description: bacterial SSU rRNA
Rfam family: Bacterial small subunit ribosomal RNA
Source: RNAcentral